Molecule: ribosomal RNA, 1532 nt
Filed under: Thelohanellus kitauei
Lineage: Eukaryota; Metazoa; Cnidaria; Myxozoa; Bivalvulida; Myxobolidae
Description: SSU rRNA
Rfam family: Eukaryotic small subunit ribosomal RNA
Source: RNAcentral
ACAGUAGGAGGUGUGAAGAGAAUACUAGGUGGGACUCAAUGAGUUACCAGUUUGGAAUGAACGUAACUUAAGAAAUUCGAUGAGAAACAACUGGAGGGCAAGUCCUGGUGCCAGCAGCCGCGGUAAUUCCAGCUCCAGUAGUUUGCUUUAAAGUUGUUGCGUUUAAAACGCUCGUAGUUGGAUCACGCAGCAGUGCCCAGUAAUCUACUAUUAGACGUUUCAGUGAAACCCACUUGUGUGGCCUUUCAUGAGCUGUCAUUAGCAGAUACCAACGCUGAGCACUGUUAGUUGCACGUGAGAUGAAUUGUUGGCCUUUAUUGAGCCGGUAUUCUCGUCUUGCGGAGUGUGCCUUGAAUAAAACAGAGUGCUUAAAGCAGGUCGUUGCCUGAAUGUUAUAGCAUGGAACGAACAAUCGUGUAUAUGUGUGUAUCCUAGAUUGGUGACGAGCCUUAGGCUUGUUGUUGAUCUGGAUGCAUACGGCACCCACCUAAAUAUGGCUGUUGGUUCCAUAUACGGUGAUGAUUAAAAGGAGCGGUUGGGGGCAUCGGUAUUUGGCCGCGAGAGGUGAAAUUCUUAGACCGGCCAAGGACUAACAAAUGCAAAGGCACUUGUCUAGACCGUUUCCAUUAAUCAAGAACGAAAGUGGGAGGUUCGAAGACGAUCAGAUACCGUCCUAGUUCCCACCGUAAACUAUGCCGACCUGGGAUCAGUUUAGAGAUGUUACAAGCUCUAGAUUGGUCCCCCUGGGAAACCUCAAGUUUUUCGGUUACGGGGAGAGUAUGGUCGCAAGGCUGAAACUUAAAGGAAUUGACGGAAGGGCACCACCAGGGGUGGAGCCUGCGGCUUAAUUUGACUCAACACGGGGAAACUUACCUGGUCCGGACAUCGAUAGGAUUAACAGAUCAAUAGCUCUUUUAUGAUGCGAUGAGUGGUGGUGCAUGGCCGUUCUUAGUUCGUGGAGUGAUCUGUCGGCCUAAUCGCGGUAACGAACGAGACCAUAAUCUCCAUUUAAGAGAUAGAAGCAGACGUCUGUGCGAGUGGAGUCGCAAGAUUUCACCCGUCGGGUGUUGCAGGUUGCAUUGUGCGUCGCAUUGUCAAAGUGUAGGGGCAACCUGAAACUUUGGUGGUGUGGUGUGCUUUGUUCCCUUCUAUUGAGCAGCAAUCGGUCUCGACUGGUUGUUGCCUUAUGGAGAGACAACGAGGUAUAUACAAGCUCGAGGAAGAGUGGCUAUAACAGGUCAGUGAUGCCCUUCGAUGUUCAGGGCUGCACGCGCGCUACAAUGAUAACGACAACGAGUGUCUGCGUCGAAAGACGUGGGUAAUCUUUAAUCGUUAUCGUGAUGGGGAUUGACCGUUGUAACUGUCGGUCAUGAAAGAGGAAUCCCUAGUAUGCGUAUUUUAUUAGAAUGCGCAGAUUAAGUCCCUGCCCUUUGUACACACCGCCCGUCGCUACUACCGAGUGAAUGGUGUCAUGAUGCGCUGGGACUGGACGUUGGAUGGGUCCUCGGGCUCGUCCGACGCUGGGAUCAGCG